This is a long non-coding RNA of Neolamprologus brichardi, 512 nucleotides long. RefSeq lists it as uncharacterized. Lineage: Eukaryota; Metazoa; Chordata; Actinopteri; Cichliformes; Cichlidae. The record is from RefSeq and is a predicted model, not a curated record.
UUGAUUACCUGUGUCAUAAACUGGGACAUUCUGUUUAAGUUUUACUGAUAAUGUUUAGAAAUAAACCCGUACAGGGCUUUCCUAACAGCCACUUAAUAAAAACUUCGCUAGAUAAAAAAUUCCUGCUAGCCAAAAAAACCCAAAAAACGUUUAUGUUUAAUUAUCUUAAAUAAUAGGUGUCGAUAGCAAAUACUUUUUGCAUAAUGGCAUCAUUGCAGACUGUGGUAUUUCUCCUUCCACAUACUGGAGGCUCCAGGGAGAGUCCUCAUCAUCCAACAGUAUAACGUUGAUUGUAAUCCCACUCCCACAUUGUCCAACACCAGGACACGAUGCCACAAGAAUUCCAAAGAUGAACAAACACAGUAACCAGCUUCCCGAGCCCAUUCUCAGCUCCGAGUCUUUAUAAAUUCUGCAAAUGCUGGUCGUCUGUCCAGCACGUCUGAGACAAAGAACAAGCCACAUUCAGAGUCACUGAAAUCACCUUCUUCCUCAUUCUGCUGGGUAAGCAGCUU